UUCCCCAACCAACAAACUCCUCCCUCAAUGAUGCCAGGGGCAGUGCCAGGCAGCGGGCACCCAGGCGUGGCGGACCCAGGCACCCCGCUGCCUCCAGACCCCACAGCUCCGAGCCCAGGCACAGUCACCCCUGUGCCACCCCCACAGUGAGGAACCAGCCAGCUAUCUCCCCUCACUCCCCAUGGAGAUCACAGUCCAGGAACCACCCUCCCCCACAACUGGGACCCUCCCUCAGCCUGGAGAGUUCAUCACUACGUAAGGAAAGCUCCUGCCCCUUCACCACCCCACAUGCCCAGCAGAGGUGUGCAGUUUUAUAUCCAAUAUUAUCCACGGACUUCUAAGAUGUUUCUAAUGCCUGGGAGAGAGGAUAGGAGGGAAGGAUGUUUAUUCAAGGUUCUAUUACUGGUUCUGAGGGUGUACCUUCAGAAUUACUGCAGUUUUGAAGUGAUAACAUGAAAAUGAAACCCUUUAAAAGGGAGGUUUUAAAAAGACACAUCUGAGACCACAAAAAAGAA
RNAcentral lists this long non-coding RNA (515 nucleotides) under Rattus norvegicus (Norway rat). RNAcentral's name for it is "long non-coding RNA NONRATT025469". The record is from RNAcentral. Lineage: Eukaryota; Metazoa; Chordata; Mammalia; Rodentia; Muridae.